This is a long non-coding RNA of Homo sapiens (human), 1142 nucleotides long. Ensembl annotates it as MIR646 host gene. Its record names the gene MIR646HG. NCBI's taxonomy places the organism in Eukaryota, Metazoa, Chordata, Mammalia, Primates, Hominidae. The record is from Ensembl.
GGAGACGCCGAGGCCCGAUGCCGUAUCCUGCCGCCCGUUUUACCCGCGGGAAAGCCGAGGCCCGGUGCUGUAUUCUGCCGCCCAUUUUACCCGCGGGGAAGCUGAGGCCCAGUGCUGUUUAAUAUCUUACUCAUGUUCACUUGAUGAGAAAGUGACAGAUCUGAGACAAACCCAGGGAGAAGUGAAAUUCUACCUCACUUUUUUAAAAGAAGAGCCUGGAAUUGGCCUAUCCGUCUUUUUCCCCGUUGGAUCACAGAGCAGAAAGGAAGCUAAGACCUCUAGUACAGUGUUCAAUGGAACUGGUGAGAAAAGACGUCCUUGCUGUGUUCCUGAUAUGAAGAGGAAAGCAGUCCUUCUCCAUUAAGUAAAAUGCUGACAACAUGAGCCUCCCGUGGUCGGAACGGGCUUGUGAAGGCGGUGCUGGGGUGCACCAGGGCAGCAGCUACAGGGUCAAGCCUGAGACACCUGAAGCCCUGGACUUGGAAUCUGAAGCUGUCAUCAGCCAGUACACCUAUGAACCUGUGGAAGACCUGAAGUACCUGUUUAAAAGACAGCCAAAAGAUAAAAUGCACCAGCUGGAGUCGACAUUAAAGGGCCCCAUUUCCCAUUUGCUGCAGAAGAUGUUUAAUUGGAAGUCUCUCCCUGUCCUUUUGACCGUCUGCUUUUGCAUGUGAUUUGACUAUGCGCUGAGGACCUAGCGUGGUAUAUCAGCAAAGUGGAAAAGUGACUGAAGUGACUGUUUAUCAUCUUGUACCAAGUUACACCACUUUAAGCUUUAACUCCACAGCUCUUGCAUUAUUUUAAAACCGUCUGGCAGAUCUCUAAAACUAAUGGUACAAACCACUCUGUGAUACAUUAAAAUACAUCCCACUCUGUCAUACUGCAAACAAGUAGCUGCUCCCCAGUCUUUGAAAAAGUACUUUCAAGAUAAAAUAUGUACUCAUGGGUUCUGCAGGUUUUUAAAAAGUCUUGAAUCUUCACAGAUUUACUGGGGGGGAAGGGGCGUUUCAUGUAAAAUGUGUUUUUCCUUGACAUUUAGAGGUCUUGCAAAGUGGUUUAUUAUAGAUCUUGUGGACAUCUCGCUAUUUAAUUAAAUUUCAGAAAUAUAUUCUCUGCACUCAUAAGAAGGAAUAUGAAGAGUG